RNAcentral lists this long non-coding RNA (434 nucleotides) under Manacus vitellinus (golden-collared manakin). Its description in RNAcentral is "lncRNA (ENSMVIG00005016222.1)". The record is from RNAcentral. Lineage: Eukaryota; Metazoa; Chordata; Aves; Passeriformes; Pipridae.
AACAUUGGGACUGGAGUCAGCGUGGAACACGGACUCUCUGGCAGCUGAAGCACUUCAAACUGUGUUCCCACUUCAACUGUUUGGGUUUUGCUUCAAAUAUCUCAGCCUUUUCCCCUUCUUUUCCUGCAGACAAUGCCAUGACCCAGAUGGGAGUGCAGAGCAGGUCUGGACUGACAGGACAGUCAUCCACGACCACAUCAGCCUGACAUUCCCUGAUGAUGGCAACGGGAUGAACUCGGAGCAGCUGCACAAAAUACUAAGCUGUCUUCCCCCACACUUGUCAUGUGGGCACAGGGAUACCACACUUGCAAGGGCUUCUCCAAAGGUUUUUCUGCCAGGAGUGCUCCAGGCUUUCAGAAGGUAACUUUCCAGCCCAGAACAGAAACACAGACCCGAUGCCGUCGUUUCCUGAGCACUGUAAGGUGUCCUGCACC